This 243-nucleotide ribosomal RNA is filed under the name uncultured bacterium. RNAcentral describes it as "partial 16S ribosomal RNA". It matches the Rfam family "Bacterial small subunit ribosomal RNA", at positions 524 to 775 of the family's 1533-position model. The record is from RNAcentral.
UACAUGGGGUGCAAACGUUGCUCGGAAUUAUUGGGCGUAAAGCGCACGUAGGCGGUUUGUUAAGUCGGAUGUGAAAUCCCUCGGCUCAACUGAGGAAGUGCACCCGAAACUGGAAGGCUUGAGUGUGGCAGAGGGGGUGGAAUUCCACGUGUAGCAGUGAAUGCGUAGAUAUGUGGAGGAACACCGAUGCGAAGCAGCCCCUGGCUAACACUGACGCUCAUGCACGAAGCGUGGGAGCAACAG